AACGAACGUUAGCGGCGCGCCUAACACAUGCAAGUCGAGCGAGAAAGGGCUUCGGCCCCGGUAAAGCGGCGCACGGGUGAGUAACACGUGGAUAACCUACCCCUUGGUGGUGGAUAACCUUCCGAAAGGAGGGCUAAUACAGCGUAAGACCACGACUUCGAAAGAGGUUGGGGUAAAAGUGGGCCUCUGUACACAAGCUCACGCCAGGGGAUGGGUCCGCGGCCCAUCAGCUAGUUGGUAGGGUAACGGCCUACCAAGGCGAAGACGGGUAGCUGGUCUGAGAGGAUGAUCAGCCACACUGGAACUGAGACACGGUCCAGACUCCUACGGAGGCAGCAGUGGGGAAUCUUGCGCAAUGGACGAAAGUCUGACGCAGCGACGCCGCGUGAGUGAUGAAGGCCUCGGUU
Molecule: ribosomal RNA, 407 nt
Filed under: uncultured bacterium
Lineage: Bacteria
Description: bacterial SSU rRNA
Rfam family: Bacterial small subunit ribosomal RNA
Source: RNAcentral